This 65-nucleotide transfer RNA is filed under the name Lymexylon navale. RNAcentral's name for it is "tRNA-Met". The record is from RNAcentral. Lineage: Eukaryota; Metazoa; Arthropoda; Insecta; Coleoptera; Lymexylidae.
AAAAAGAUAAGCUAAAAAAGCUAUUAGACUCAUGCCCUAAUUAUGAAACAAUAUUUCUCUUUUUA